GAGUUUGAUCCUGGCUCAGGACGAACGCUGGCGGCGCGCCUAACACAUGCAAGUCGAACGGAGCUUAGAGAGCUUGCUUUUUAAGCUUAGUGGCGAACGGGUGAGUAACGCGUGGGCAACCUGCCUCAUAGAGGGGAAUAGCCUUCCGAAAGGGAGAUUAAUACCGCAUAAGAUUGUAGUACCGCAUGGUACAGCAAUUAAAGGAGCAAUCCGCUACGAGAUGGGCCCGCGGCGCAUUAGCUAGUUGGUGAGGUAACGGCUCACCAAGGCGACGAUGCGUAGCCGACCUGAGAGGGUGAUCGGCCACAUUGGGACUGAGACACGGCCCAGACUCCUACGGGAGGCAGCAGUGGGGAAUAUUGCACAAUGGGGGAAACCCUGAUGCAGCAACGCCGCGUGAGUGAUGACGGCCUUCGGGUUGUAAAGCUCUGUCUUCAGGGACGAUAAUGACGGUACCUGAGGAGGAAGCCACGGCUAACUACGUGCCAGCAGCCGCGGUAAUUC
Molecule: ribosomal RNA, 504 nt
Filed under: uncultured bacterium
Lineage: Bacteria
Description: bacterial SSU rRNA
Rfam family: Bacterial small subunit ribosomal RNA
Source: RNAcentral